Long non-coding RNA from Pseudoliparis swirei, 345 nucleotides. RefSeq lists it as uncharacterized. The record is from RefSeq and is a predicted model, not a curated record. NCBI's taxonomy places the organism in Eukaryota, Metazoa, Chordata, Actinopteri, Perciformes, Liparidae. The transcript is spliced from 2 exons.
AGGACGUCCUUGGCCAGCCGGGCCAUGCUGAGCACCUGGUUCCCGGAGCGGUCCACGUAGUCCCGGAACGGCACGAACUGCAAAGCUACUCAGGAAGGAAAAGUCUCACCAGUUGUCGUCACCGAUAAGUAAAAUGUUAAAUAUAAUACGGUCGGUUAGAGGCUUGGCUGAGAGGAGUGUGGUCUGAGGAUACGGGACCCUCGGGGAUGUCCUGGUGAGGAUGGCCACUUCACAGCAGAGCGGUCCGACUGGAUUUUAUUAGUAAGAUACAAAACAGUUUUUUGUAUAGAACUUUGAAAAGCUUGGUAUUAAUAGUUUUCUUUACUCAAUAAAUACAUGAAACUA